CCCUUAGAUGUUCUGGGCCGCACGCGCGCUACACUGAUGCAUUCAACGAGUUUCUUCCUGGUCCGAGAGGAAUGGGUAACCUUUUGAAAGUGCAUCGUGAUAGGGAUAGACUAUUGCAAUUAUUGGUCUUCAACGAGGAAUUCCUAGUAGACGUAGUUCAUCAGACUGCAUCGAUUACGUCCCUGCCCUUUGUACACACCGCCCGUCGCUCCUACCGAUUGAAUGCUCAGGUGAGCCAUUCGGUCUUUCAUCAUGCUGGUUUCCAGUUUUGAUGAAGGAAAGUCUUGCGAACCUUAUCAUUUAGAGGAAGGAGAAGUCGUAACA
This 324-nucleotide ribosomal RNA is filed under the name uncultured eukaryote. Its description in RNAcentral is "partial 18S ribosomal RNA". It matches the Rfam family "Eukaryotic small subunit ribosomal RNA", at positions 1470 to 1796 of the family's 1831-position model. The record is from RNAcentral.